AGAGCGUAGCUUAAAAGUCGAGCAUCUCCCUUACACUGAGAAGACAUCCAUGCAAAUUGGAUCGCCCUGA
Molecule: transfer RNA, 70 nt
Filed under: Rineloricaria aff. strigilata LBP 2949
Lineage: Eukaryota; Metazoa; Chordata; Actinopteri; Siluriformes; Loricariidae
Description: tRNA-Val
Rfam family: tRNA
About the family: Transfer RNA (tRNA) molecules are approximately 80 nucleotides in length. Their secondary structure includes four short double-helical elements and three loops (D, anti-codon, and T loops).
Source: RNAcentral